AUGAAGCUUCCUCGGGCUGUUGCGUGUCUUCUCCUCCUCGUCGUCGUCUUUGCUGCUGCUCGUGUGGAGGCCCGAGUCACACCUUCCUCACGGCGGCCCAAGAACCAAUGGUCAAGCAUGUUUGUCUUCGGGGACGACUUUGUCGACAACGGCAAUGUUCCGAACAACAUUGGUGAAAAGACAUCACGUCAAUGGAGCUACCCAUACGGCUCCUAUCUCAACACUCAUUAUGCUACGUCUCCUGUUUUGGCCGGGCGCUUCUCCAACUACAGGAUGCAAUCAGAUUUUAUCGCAAGGAUGUUGGGCCUCAAUGAAGCCCCUCCAGCGUACGAGCUCACAUCAGAUCAAUCUUGUGACUCAUCUGGCAUGACCUUUGCUUUUGGGGGCGCUGGUGUCUUCAAGGUGAAGACCAAGAAGGUGCCGACCCUUGCCGCACAGGUUCAAACUUUCAAGAGGCUUGUCAACGACGGGGUCAUCUCAACACAUCAGCUUCACCACUCCGUCGCGCUCAUCGCCAUCUCCGGCAAUGACUACAUGAGCGACUCCGACAUUGAGACCGGCUUCUACACAAGCUUCGAUGAUCUCGAUACUUACAUCGGAAACGUGGCGACUGAGAUCCUAGAUAAUGUGGCGCAACUGCAGAUGCUUGGUGUGAGAAAGGUGCUAGUAAACAAUUUGCAUCCCAUUGGUUGCACACCUUUGCACACUAGUUCGAACAACUACACCACAUGCGACCUUCUCGGCAAUUAUGGCGCGUCCGUGCACAACAAGUAUCUAAAGCAAAUGAUCGAUGUAAGGGACAACGUUCACAUUCUGGACCUCUACACCGCUUUCACUGACAUCGUCAAUCACGCCCCUGAUGGAGGAUCGGAUCAGUCCAAGGAUUUCGAUGGCAAGCUGACCCCAUGCUGCGAGAGUACCGGUGAGGGAGGGUUCUGUGGAGAGCGUAGCCAUUCAGGGAAGCGCCUCUACGACCUAUGCGAAAAUCCCGACAAGACGUUCUACUGGGACCAGACACACCCUACACAUGCUGGGUGGGAGGCUGUAAUGAAGGCGCUGCAACAGCCUUUGACGGAGUUUCUUGAUGAGGACUACAUUGCAUAA
RNAcentral lists this ribosomal RNA (1104 nucleotides) under Triticum aestivum (bread wheat). Its description in RNAcentral is "partial small subunit ribosomal RNA". The record is from RNAcentral. Lineage: Eukaryota; Viridiplantae; Streptophyta; Magnoliopsida; Poales; Poaceae.